GAAAUGCGAUAAGUAAUGUGAAUUGCAGAAUUCCGUGAAUCAUCGAAUCUUUGAACACACAUUGCGCCCUCUGGCAUUCCGGGGGGCAUGCCUGUCCGAGCGUCAUUACGCACCCUCAAGCCCGGCUUGUGUGAUGGGCCCCGGCGUCUCGUUCGCGAGACGGGCCCGAAAGGCAGCGGCGGCGUCGACCCGAUGAGCCCGAGCGUAUGGGGACUUCUGUCACACGUUCGCGGUGCGGACCGGCGCCUGCUUGACUUUUCUGAUUAUCCAGGUUGACCUCGGAUCAGGUAGGGAUACCCGCUGAACUUAAGC
This 312-nucleotide unclassified non-coding RNA is filed under the name plant metagenome. RNAcentral's name for it is "partial contains 5.8S ribosomal RNA, internal transcribed spacer 2, and large subunit ribosomal RNA". The stretch from base 1 to 105 matches the Rfam family "5.8S ribosomal RNA", at positions 50 to 154 of the family's 154-position model. The record is from RNAcentral.